CCUUGACAUACUAAGAACUUUCCAGAGAUGGAUUGGUGCCUUCGGGAACUUAGAUACAGGUGCUGCAUGGCUGUCGUCAGCUCGUGUCGUGAGAUGUUGGGUUAAGUCCCGCAACGAGCGCAACCCUUUUCCUUAUUUGCCAGCGGGUUAAGCCGGGAACUUUAAGGAUACUGCCAGUGACAAACUGGAGGAAGGCGGGGACGACGUCAAGUCAUCAUGGCCCUUACGGCCAGGGCUACACACGUGCUACAAUGGUCGGUACAAAGGGUUGCUACCUCGCGAGAGGAUGCUAAUCUCAAAAAGCCGAUCGUAGUCCGGAUCGCAGUCUGCAACUCGACUGCGUGAAGUCGGAAUCGCUAGUAAUCGCGGAUCAGAAUGCCGCGGUGAAUACGUUCCCGGGCCUUGUACACACCGCCCGUCACACCAUGGGAGUUUGUUGCACCAGAAGUAGGUAGUCUAACCGCAAGGAGGACGCUUACCACGGUGUGGCCGAUGACUGGGGUGAAGUCGUAACAAGGUAAGCGUAGAUGA
This 531-nucleotide ribosomal RNA is filed under the name uncultured bacterium. Its description in RNAcentral is "bacterial SSU rRNA". It matches the Rfam family "Bacterial small subunit ribosomal RNA", at positions 979 to 1509 of the family's 1533-position model. The record is from RNAcentral.